This 65-nucleotide transfer RNA is filed under the name Diartiger fossulatus. RNAcentral's name for it is "tRNA-Ile". The record is from RNAcentral. Lineage: Eukaryota; Metazoa; Arthropoda; Insecta; Coleoptera; Staphylinidae.
AAUAGAAUGCCUGAAAAAAAGGGUUAUUUUGAUAGAAUAAAUUAUGUAAUUUUUUACUUCUGUUA